Molecule: long non-coding RNA, 1512 nt
Filed under: Equus asinus (donkey)
Lineage: Eukaryota; Metazoa; Chordata; Mammalia; Perissodactyla; Equidae
Description: lncRNA (ENSEASG00005037814.1)
Source: RNAcentral
AAGCAAGGGAAGGAAUAGUUCCUCUCUAGUAUGCCCUGGUAAGGAAACCUAGAUUCCUGUGACUGAGUUGCAAUGGAAUUCUGGAAAGUCAUUUCUUAUCUCUGGGCCUUGAUCUUCAAGGGCCAGAUAUAUACAAUGGGUGGCAGUAGGCGGAUGGUGAGAUAAUCUUUAUGGGUAUUCCCUGCUUAAAAUUCAAUGAUUAUGAAGUUAGAAACUGUCAAGUGCUGUCUGAUUCUAUGUGAACAGCUUUGGUCUUUCUCUUCCCUUUAGAAUCCAGCUCGCCUGGGGGUGGGAAUGAAGGAGUGAGGAUGUGCUGCCCUGAUCAAUCCACAGGAGGAAUGAAGGGUUGAAUGAAGGGUUCAGAAGGCCAAACCGUGCCCCAUGGGGUCCCCUGGAUAUCUUAAGGAAGGAUUUCUCUGCUCUUGGAUCUUCCAUGUUAGCCUCUGCCUCCCUGCCCCCCUCCCUUCUUUCUCUCUCUGUCUCUGUCUCUGUCUCUGUCUCUGUCUGUGUCUGUCUCCCUCAUCUCUGUCUUUCUGAGUGACACAGUGGAAGGGCUUUUGGACAUCUCACUCCUAAUCCUGGAUGUGAUCUUGAGUAAUUCAUUGCUCCUCUCUGGGACUUAAUUUCUCCAUUUGACAACUUGGUCUGGUAAUUUCUGCCUUGCCUAAGGUAAGAACUGAACAAUAUCAAGUGAGAUCAGGAAGAAUUUGGAAGGGUCUUGUAAACUGUUGAGAGUUCCUCCCUCUGCGAGCUUUUCCUACUGUGGGUUCCAGCUCUCUCUGGGCCUUCCAGUCCCACCUGCCUCUCUCUGUUUCUUGGCCUUUUGAUGACUUUCCUUCUUGGUUCCCAGCUAUCUCAAGUUCUUUGUGUCUUUGUGAAAUUUCCCAGGAUUAUGAUAUUUAUCAUUUUAUUUGUGGUCUCUGGGUGGGAUUACAGGACUUUGGAUGGUGGCUUAAGGUCACAGGAAAGUAGGCUGAAAGCCUCAUGGAGUGGUGUGUGGAGGGGCUGGACAGCAGGGACCAUCUUGGGAGAAUGGCUCUGUGGAUGGAGAUCUCCAGAACUGAGCCCUUAUCUCUAUUUCCUGGUCCUGUUUCACUCCUCUCAGACCCUCGGAGCAGGCUCGAAGUGUCCCAGGGUUUUGCCAGUUUGGAUCCUGGGCGCAGACACGGCACCGCUCAUCAAGCCAUGCUGAGGCGGCAUCCCACGUGCUACAACUAGAAAGACCCACAAGUUCAUGAUGAUUUGAACAGGCGGUGGAAAUAGUGAGGAGAAGGAUGCCUGACCAAAUUCUGGGGGCCUAAUGAAGAAAGCCUGAAAAUGAUCUCAGGGAAGGAGGACAGGAAGGGGUGCACGCUAGGAUAACAGUGCUCUUUCACAUCUGCUUCAGUAGAGCAACUCGGGCCUCCCGCCGCAUCUCUGUCUCUCUCUGCAUCUCUCCCUGCUUCUCUGGCUCUGCCCUUCCCCACCCCCUUCUAGGCCUCUCCAGUCUCCCUCCCCCUGAGUCCCCCUCCC